GACGAACGCUGGCGGCGCGCUUAACACAUGCAAGUCGAGCGAUGAAAUUUCGACAGAUCCCUUCGGGGUGAAGAUGAAAUGGAUUAGCGGCGGACGGGUGAGUAACACGUGAGUAACCUGCCUUUGACAUUGGGAUAGCCUCGGGAAACUGGGAUUAAUACCAAAUGACACUAACUGAUCACAUGAUCAAUUAGUCAAAGAAAUUCGGUCAAAGAUGGACUCGCGGCUGAUUAGCUAGUUGGUGAGGUAACGGCCCACCAAGGCGACGAUCAGUAGCCGGCCUGAGAGGGUGAUCGGCCACAUUGGAACUGAGACACGGUCCAAACUCCUACGGGAGGGAGCAGUGGGGAAUAUUGCACAAUGGGGGAAACCCUGAUGCAGCGACGACGCGUGAGCGAAGAAGGCCGUCGGGUCGUAAAGCUCUUUUAUGAGGGAAGAUAAUGACGGUACCUCAAGAAAAAGCCCCGGCUAACUACGUG
RNAcentral lists this ribosomal RNA (479 nucleotides) under uncultured bacterium. RNAcentral's name for it is "partial 16S ribosomal RNA". It matches the Rfam family "Bacterial small subunit ribosomal RNA", at positions 28 to 507 of the family's 1533-position model. The record is from RNAcentral.